CAAUAGCGUAUAUUAAAGUUGUUGCAGUUAAAAAGCUCGUAGUUGGACCUUGGACCUGGACAGGCGGUCCGCCUCACGGCGUGUACUGUCUUGCUGGGUCUUUCCUCUUGGUGAUCUGUUGUUUCGGCAGCAGGGAACCAGGACUUUUACUUUGAAAAAAUUAGAGUGUUCAAAGCAGGCUCGACGCCGGAAUAUAUUAGCAUGGAAUAAUAAAAUAGGACGUGCGGUUCUAUUUUGUUGGUUUUUGGAAUCGCCGUAAUGAUUAAUAGGGACAGUCGGGGGCAUUAGUACUCACAUGCUAGAGGUGAAAUUCUUGGAUUUUGUGAAGACUAACUUCUGCGAAAGCAUCUGCCAAGGAUGUUUUCAUUAA
RNAcentral lists this ribosomal RNA (370 nucleotides) under uncultured eukaryote. RNAcentral describes it as "partial 18S ribosomal RNA". It matches the Rfam family "Eukaryotic small subunit ribosomal RNA", at positions 592 to 976 of the family's 1831-position model. The record is from RNAcentral.